RNAcentral lists this ribosomal RNA (253 nucleotides) under uncultured bacterium. Its description in RNAcentral is "partial 16S ribosomal RNA". It matches the Rfam family "Bacterial small subunit ribosomal RNA", at positions 524 to 776 of the family's 1533-position model. The record is from RNAcentral.
UACAGAGGGUGCGAGCGUUGUCCGGAAUCACUGGGCGUAAAGGGCGCGUAGGUGGCGCUCCAAGUCUGUGGUGAAAGCUCGACGCUCAACGUCGAGUCGGCCAUAGAGACUGGAGGGCUCGAGCACUGUAGGGGCAGAUGGAAUUCCGGGUGUAGCGGUGGAAUGCGUAGAGAUCCGGAAGAACACCGGUGGCGAAGGCGGUCUGCUGGGCAGUUGAUGACACUGAGGCGCGACAGCGUGGGGAGCAAACAGG